This 45-nucleotide non-coding RNA is filed under the name Schistosoma mansoni. Lineage: Eukaryota; Metazoa; Platyhelminthes; Trematoda; Strigeidida; Schistosomatidae. The record is from RNAcentral.
AUCCAGCUGACGAAUCCCGAAUAGGACGAAAUGUGCAUCCUGGAU